CUCAGAUGAGAAACCAAGUGUGGGUGUUUGAAAGACUCAAGAUAAUUACUCAAGAGAAAGCGAUUGACUCUGAUUGAUUGUGAAAUAAACUCCCUUCUCAAGCCUCUGCUUCUCCUUUCAUUGACCACGAAAAGAUGCAGCGACUGGUAACAGAAACACUGGUCACCGUCUCCACAGGUGAGAAAACCGAGGGACAGCAAAGUUAAGCAACUUGCCCAAGAUUCUGUAAUGCAAGACUGCACCGCCAGGUGAACACAAGCACCUUCUGAGAAUUUAGAAGAAGGAGAAGAAGAAGAAGAGAAGAAGAAGAAAAGAAGAAGAAGACCAAGAUG
Long non-coding RNA from Tupaia belangeri chinensis (Chinese tree shrew), 332 nucleotides. RefSeq lists it as uncharacterized. The record is from RefSeq and is a predicted model, not a curated record. NCBI's taxonomy places the organism in Eukaryota, Metazoa, Chordata, Mammalia, Scandentia, Tupaiidae. The transcript has 4 exons.